Molecule: ribosomal RNA, 468 nt
Filed under: uncultured bacterium
Lineage: Bacteria
Description: partial 16S ribosomal RNA
Rfam family: Bacterial small subunit ribosomal RNA
Source: RNAcentral
GACGAACGCUGGCGGCGGGCUUAACACAUGCAAGUCGAACGGAAAGGCCCUGCUUAUGUGGGGUGCUCGAGUGGCGAACGGGUGAGUAACACGUGAGUAACCUGCCCUUGACUUUGGGAUAACUUCAGGAAACUGGGGCAAAUACCGGAUAAGAGCUCCUUCUGCCAGGAGGGGGUUGGAAAGUUUCGGCGGUUUGUGAUGGACUCGCGGCUUAUCAGCUUGUUGGGGGGGUUGUGGAUUAACAAGGCUUUGACGGGUAGCCGGCCUGAGAGGGUGACCGGCCAAAUUGGGACUGAGAUACGGCCCGGACUCGUACGGGAGGCAGCAGUGUGGAAUAUUGCACGAUGGGCGGAAGCCUGAUGCAGCAACGCCGCGUGCGGGAUGGCGGCCUUCGGGUUGUAGACCGCUUUCGCCUGUGACGAAGCGUGAGUGACGGUAAUGGGUAAAGAAGCACCGGCUAACUACGUG